GACGAACGCUGGCGGCGUGCCUAAUACAUGCAAGUCGAGCGGACUGAUUAAGAGCUUGCUCUUAUGACGUUAGCGGCGGACGGGUGAGUAACACGUGGGCAACCUGCCCUGUAGAUCGGGAUAACACCGAGAAAUCGGUGCUAAUACCGGGUAAUAUCUGAGAUCACAUGAUCUUAGGUUAAAAGAUGGCUCCGGCUAUCACUACAGGAUGGGCCCGCGGCGCAUUAGCUAGUUGGUAAGGUAAUGGCUUACCAAGGCGACGAUGCGUAGCCGACCUGAGAGGGUGAUCGGCCACACUGGGACUGAGACACGGCCCAGACUCCUACGGGAGGCAGCAAUAGGGAAUCUUCCGCAAUGGACGAAAGUCUGAUGGAGCAACGCCGCGUGAGUGAUGAAGGGUUUCGGCUCGUAAAGCUCUGUUGUUAGGGAAGAAACAGUACCGAACGAACUAGGUCGGUACCUUGACGGUACCUAACCAGAAAGCCACGGCUAACUACGUG
RNAcentral lists this ribosomal RNA (500 nucleotides) under uncultured bacterium. RNAcentral describes it as "partial 16S ribosomal RNA". It matches the Rfam family "Bacterial small subunit ribosomal RNA", at positions 28 to 507 of the family's 1533-position model. The record is from RNAcentral.